ACAGCAAGGAAAAACAAAUAUGAAGAAAACGCUUUGAUUCAUAUAUAUAGAUUGAAAAAAAGAAGAAGAAGAAGCAGAAUUCGAUCCAUUACCAACACAUCACGUGAGGUCUCAGCUUGAAUGCAUGAUUGAGUUUCUGUUUCUGCUUCUUUUAGGAAAGCACCAAAAGCUUGCAAAGUGAGAUUUCCACCAGGAGAAAAAGUUGUUGGUAGAUUUAAGAAUGCCAGUACUAAAGCAUGGAGGUGCAAAGCCUUUAUUUUUAUUUUUAUCUUUCUUGUCUUUUGGGCAUAGCAUCUCUAACUUUAGAGGAAGGGCGCCAGUCCCCCCCCUGAAGAAUCAGGCCAUGAAAACAAUGAAAAGGAAGCCCUAAUCAGUAACAUACAUGGGAUAACAACGCUUCUAGGAAGCAAUUAAACAUGCUAUUUCUACCGUAAACAACACAGUAAUGCUCCCUACAGGUGACCACAUGAUAUCUUGAAGCUUGCAACUUGGAUAAGAGUCUGUUGUUGCUGUGGACAGUCCGUCACGCGCGCCCUCUCGCUUUUGGUAAUAGCAUCUUGAGGGGAUUAACCUUUUUCAGUAGCCAUAAUAAAAGAAGAUGAAGAAAAGGAAAAAGAAGAGAGUGAAAGCAAUAAAGUGACUGGCUAAAGAUGUGGAGCCACUGACCACUGAUGAUAUACAUGGGCGAGUGAGUGUGUAUUGAUUUUUACUGUGCAACGGAGAUUCAGAGAUCGGCGUAGAUGCAUACACUGCCCAGCGGUAGAUUCUCAACAGCAGGAAAAAGAAGGAAACUUGCGUGGAUUGCAGCAGCAACAAUGAUUCUCAAAAUGAGCUGUUGCAAAAAUAAUCAGUACUGCUUCAUAAGGUCCUUGAGGAUAUGAUUAAUGCAUAAGACCAUAUGGGAAACGAAGUGAAUCUUAAUUAUUAUUAA
Molecule: long non-coding RNA, 931 nt
Organism: Populus nigra (black poplar)
Lineage: Eukaryota; Viridiplantae; Streptophyta; Magnoliopsida; Malpighiales; Salicaceae
Exons: 2
Source: RefSeq, a predicted model, not a curated record